Molecule: non-coding RNA, 22 nt
Filed under: Sus scrofa (pig)
Lineage: Eukaryota; Metazoa; Chordata; Mammalia; Artiodactyla; Suidae
Also listed under: 1 other name
Gene: ssc-miR-155-5p
Source: miRBase by way of RNAcentral
UUAAUGCUAAUUGUGAUAGGGG